This is a long non-coding RNA of Herpailurus yagouaroundi (jaguarundi), 806 nucleotides long. RefSeq lists it as uncharacterized. The record is from RefSeq and is a predicted model, not a curated record. The transcript has 5 exons. NCBI's taxonomy places the organism in Eukaryota, Metazoa, Chordata, Mammalia, Carnivora, Felidae.
UAACUCUAUUGUUUAAGCUAUUUUCUCUGCUUGGGAAGACUUGUCACUGUCAUCUGUCAGGCAAAGUCCACUCAUCCUUUAUGACCUAAUACAAAUGAUGCUUCUUCUGUGAAGCCUUCCCUGCCCUCCCCAGGGAGAUAAUCACUCUCCUCUCUGCUUUCACAUAUAUUAUGGCAUGUCUCUUUAUAUGUUGGUCUCUCCCAAAUGUCUUAGAAGAUUCAUGGGGCAAUCUGAUUGAGGAAGAGGUAUCCUAGAAACAUCUACUGAUGAACAAAAAUAUCAGAAGUACGGAAUUUGGACUGUCUGAACCAUAAACAAACAAACAAACAAAAAGGCAGAAAUCUACUCUUAGAACACAUGAUACUAAGCACCUUACUGCAAGAGUGUAAAGAAAUAAAAGAGGACAAGAAAAGAUGUUUUCCCAUCCCUGACAUUUUCUGGUCCAGCAAGGACAAGCUGAAAAGCUGAUUAACAAGCUUCCCAGGAGAACUGGAAAUCCCUGGGAACUGGGAUUCCCAACUGGCAUCUAGGGAUGAGAGGGCUUAUCUUCUGAUUUUUGGUUAAGGUGAUUAAACUCAGACUACUAAUUGAAUAAAUGCAAAACUUAUUCUAGAUUACUAUUUUAAGCAUCCUUCAUUCUUUCAUCCAUUCUUCCAUUUAUUCUUCCAAGAUUCUAUUUUUCCACCUAUCCAUUUUUCUACCCAUCCAUUAUUUAUUUAGAAGUAUUUAGAUACUUCUUUUAGAUACUUCUAUGCACCAUACUCUGUGCUGAGUGUGGAAAACACAAUGAUGAACAAGGAAGCAGA